UUUGUGUGAGCGGUAGAGGAGCGUCGUAAUCGGGCUGAAGUCGUACCGUAAGGAGCGGUGGACUGAUUACGAGGGAGAAUGUUGGCAUUAGUAGCGAGAUGUGGGUGAGAAUCCCACAGGCCGAAUACCUAAGGUUUCCUCAGGAAGGUUCGUCCGCUGAGGGUUAGUCGGGACCUAAGCUGAGGCCGAAAGGCGUAAGCG
RNAcentral lists this ribosomal RNA (201 nucleotides) under Clostridium botulinum. Its description in RNAcentral is "partial 23S ribosomal RNA". It matches the Rfam family "Bacterial large subunit ribosomal RNA", at positions 1216 to 1417 of the family's 2925-position model. Lineage: Bacteria; Bacillati; Bacillota; Clostridia; Eubacteriales; Clostridiaceae. The record is from RNAcentral.